AUCAAGGUGGCACAGGCAGUAUGGAGAGCUGCCUGGAGGGGGAGCCCGCGAGCCCUGGCCCCAACAAUGUAAAGAACUGGCCGAAGCAGCAAAGGCAAAGUGACAUCCAGUGACAUCCGGGAAUGUUCUGCCACUGGGCGGGGCUUCGACCCAGGGACCCUGAAGGCUGCAGCAGGGCGCUCCAGAGUCUCCCCGAAGCCCAGGGCUCUUCCCUGCCACCAGCUAGCUCUGCUCCAGCCAGGCCCAGAGAACAUGUCUGUGCCAGCAAAUGCGAGCCCCAGCAGGUCCAGUCCAGGUGCUACGGGUAGAAAAACAGGUGGUUGCGUGGUGGGGCUGAAGUGCAGGGCUUGGACUUUGAUCCUGCCAAGAGUGAAACCUCUGACGUGGUCGGUCGUGAGUGUUGUUCCAAAGUCAGUUAAAAAGUUCAACAUGGAAGCUCCUCCUGCGGUCUUCAUCCAGUGAUGGGAAGAUUGGGACUCAGAAGACCUGGCUUGAGCCCCGGGGGUCCAAUGCUGUUUCUCCCUUGCUGUGUGACCUCAGAUCUUGGCUGCUACAAAGCAAGCUGUUUCCGCUGCCACAGGCCCCUGCACGUGCAUUCUGUCUCACUUCAGACUCAGAGCAUCAAGGCCAAGCAACCACAGACAGCAACUGUGAGGCAAAAUACGCCUUUUUUCUCUUUUUAAAUUGAUUUAUCUUGGCUGUUUGUCACAGUGGUAGAAAACUAAUACAGCCUUAGUGCGAUCAUUACGGCCACUACUGUCUUCACUCAACUACUACAAAGGGGGGGUGGGCAGGAAAGGGAAUGCAGGAAGUGAAUGUGUGGCCACCUCCUCUGGCAACAAGUUAGGGUGGGCAGGAACAGGUGUCCCACUGUGAGCUCUUGGCCUCCACCCUUCCUUCUGCGCCACUCAGCCAAACCAGCAGCAGCUGUCAAGGUCACCGUCAUCUGCUGCACUUUCCCAGGGAAAGGUGGGGCUCUGCACCUGUGCCCCAGGAAGGCCGUUCCCAGGAUCCUCACAUCUAUCUGCUCCCAUGCACUUCCCAGUGUUUUGGCUGCAGGAUGAUGCUGGGGCCGGCCACCUGGACGUUACCAUGGGAUGACUUCCCACCAGGGUACGCUGGAUAAGCUCAACCAGCCGAGUAGGUUUGCAUAGCCGCCCACUUGGUGCUGGCACUAAGAGCAGAGGGUGGGGCCUGGUUUCCAGCCACGCCCUCCCCCAGGAAAGCCUGGAGAACCCCAGGGCAAAGGAAGGUAGACCCUCUCAGUCACAACCUGGAAGGGUACAGCCGAGCAAGGUUUAUUUUUAAAACCUCCCCAGGGUGUCCUGGUGCCAGGCAACCUGGAUUGGAAACCACUCUUGUAAAGCAAUGUUUUUGUGCACAAGGAAGAGCCUAUGCCACAGAGGUGUUCCGUCAAGUUCAGGGUCACCUGCAGCCCCUUUUGGGUGCAUUGUUACAAGGGGCCAGUUGGGGGGGGCUUUUCUUAGAGGGAGGCUGCAGGUGGGGGC
RNAcentral lists this long non-coding RNA (1508 nucleotides) under Heterocephalus glaber (naked mole-rat). RNAcentral describes it as "lncRNA (ENSHGLG00000042160.1)". Lineage: Eukaryota; Metazoa; Chordata; Mammalia; Rodentia; Bathyergidae. The record is from RNAcentral.